AGAGUUUGAUCAUGGCUCAGAUUGAACGCUGGCGGCAUGCUUAAUACAUGCAAGUCGAACGGUAACAUGCCCUCCGGGGUGAUGACGAGUGGCGGACGGGUGAGUAACGCAUAGGAAUCUACCUAGUAGUGGGGGACAACUUGGGGAAACUCAAGCUAAUACCGCAUACAUCCUACGGGAAAAAGAGGGCCUCUUCUUGAAAGCUCUUGCUAUUAGAUGAGCCUAUGUCAGAUUAGCUUGUUGGUGGGGUAACGGCCUACCAAGGCGACGAUCUGUAGCUGGUCUGAGAGGAUGAUCAGCCACACUGGGACUGAGACACGGCCCAGACUCCUACGGGAGGCAGCAGUAGGGAAUAUUGGACAAUGGGCGCAAGCCUGAUCCAGCAAUGCCGCGUGUGUGAAGAAGGCCUGCGGGUUGUAAAGCACUUUCAAUUAGGAAGAAAAGCUCAAGGUUAAUAACCUUGAGUCUUGACAUUAUCAAUAGAAGAAGCACCC
RNAcentral lists this ribosomal RNA (494 nucleotides) under uncultured bacterium. Its description in RNAcentral is "bacterial SSU rRNA". It matches the Rfam family "Bacterial small subunit ribosomal RNA", at positions 8 to 495 of the family's 1533-position model. The record is from RNAcentral.